GGGCCCGCACAAGCGGUGGAGUAUGUGGUUUAAUUCGAUGCAACGCGAAGAACCUUACCAGGGUUUGACAUCCUGCGAAUCUCUUGGAAACUUGAGAGUGCCUUCGGGAGCGCAGUGACAGGUGGUGCAUGGCUGUCGUCAGCUCGUGUCGUGAGAUGUUGGGUUAAGUCCCGCAACGAGCGCAACCCACGUCUUUAGUUGCCAGCAUUUAGUUGGGCACUCUAGAGAGACCGCCGGUGAUAAACCGGAGGAAGGUGUGGAUGACGUCAAGUCAUCAUGCCCCUUACAUCCUGGGCUACACACGUACUACAAUGCUACGGACAAAGGGCAGCAAGUUCGCGAGGACAGCAAAUCCCAUAAAGCCAGUCUCAGUUCGGAUUGGAGUCUGCAACUCGACUCCAUG
RNAcentral lists this ribosomal RNA (403 nucleotides) under uncultured bacterium. Its description in RNAcentral is "bacterial SSU rRNA". It matches the Rfam family "Bacterial small subunit ribosomal RNA", at positions 917 to 1322 of the family's 1533-position model. The record is from RNAcentral.